CAUGCAGUCGAGCGGUAGCACAGAGAGCUUGCUCUCGGGUGACGAGCGGCGGACGGGUGAGUAAUGUCUGGGAAACUGCCUGAUGGAGGGGGAUAACUACUGGAAACGGUAGCUAAUACCGCAUAAUGUCGCAAGACCAAAGUGGGGGACCUUCGGGCCUCAUGCCAUCAGAUGUGCCCAGAUGGGAUUAGCUAGUAGGUGGGGUAACGGCUCACCUAGGCGACGAUCCCUAGCUGGUCUGAGAGGAUGACCAGCCACACUGGAACUGAGACACGGUCCAGACUCCUACGGGAGGCAGCAGUGGGGAAUAUUGCACAAUGGGCGCAAGCCUGAUGCAGCCAUGCCGCGUGUGUGAAGAAGGCCUUCGGGUUGUAAAGCACUUUCAGCGGGGAGGAAGGCGUUGAGGUUAAUAACCUUGUCGAUUGACGUUACCCGCAGAAGAAGCACCGGCUAACUCCGUGCCAGCAGCCGCGGUAAUACGGAGGGUGCAAGCGUUAAUCGGAAUUACUGGGCGUAAAGCGCACGCAGGCGGUCUGUCAAGUCGGAUGUGAAAUCCCCGGGCUCAACCUGGGAACUGCAUUCGAAACUGGCAGGCUAGAGUCUUGUAGAGGGGGGUAGAAUUCCAGGUGUAGCGGUGAAAUGCGUAGAGAUCUGGAGGAAUACCGGUGGCGAAGGCGGCCCCCUGGACAAAGACUGACGCUCAGGUGCGAAAGCGUGGGGAGCAAACAGGAUUAGAUACCCUGGUAGUCCACGCCGUAAACGAUGUCGAUUUGGAGGUUGUGCCCUUGAGGCGUGGCUUCCGGAGCUAACGCGUUAAAUCGACCGCCUGGGGAGUACGGCCGCAAGGUUAAAACUCAAAUGAAUUGACGGGGGCCCGCACAAGCGGUGGAGCAUGUGGUUUAAUUCGAUGCAACGCGAAGAACCUUACCUGGUCUUGACAUCCACAGAACUUUCCAGAGAUGGAUUGGUGCCUUCGGGAACUGUGAGACAGGUGCUGCAUGGCUGUCGUCAGCUCGUGUUGUGAAAUGUUGGGUUAAGUCCCGCAACGAGCGCAACCCUUAUCCUUUGUUGCCAGCGGUUCGGCCGGGAACUCAAAGGAGACUGCCAGUGAUAAACUGGAGGAAGGUGGGGAUGACGUCAAGUCAUCAUGGCCCUUACGACCAGGGCUACACACGUGCUACAAUGGCAUAUACAAAGAGAAGCGACCUCGCGAGAGCAAGCGGACCUCAUAAAGUAUGUCGUAGUCCGGAUUGGAGUCUGCAACUCGACUCCAUGAAGUCGGAAUCGCUAGUAAUCGUAGAUCAGAAUGCUACGGUGAAUACGUUCCCGGGCCUUGUACACACCGCCCGUCACACCAUGGGAGUGGGUUGCAAAAGAAGUAGGUAGCUUAACCUUCGGGAGGGCGCUACCACU
This 1413-nucleotide ribosomal RNA is filed under the name Klebsiella pneumoniae. RNAcentral describes it as "bacterial SSU rRNA". It matches the Rfam family "Bacterial small subunit ribosomal RNA". Lineage: Bacteria; Pseudomonadati; Pseudomonadota; Gammaproteobacteria; Enterobacterales; Enterobacteriaceae. The record is from RNAcentral.